CCCUCCAGAGCCACAUCGUCGCGGUCGAAAUAGAAGCCCUGCGGGAAGAGAUGGCGGGAACAAUGGUUAGCAGGAGGCGAGGCCAGGCAUGCGGACUCCGCCUCCGACUAUCCAACAGGACAAAGAAGGCCAGCGCGUGCGCAGAGGGCCGGAGGAUCACUCACUUCAGAGGAAGCAGCUGCCACAUUGUGAGGACACUCAAGCAGUCAUCCGCUGGAGAAACACACAUGUCGAGGAACCAAGUCCUCCAGCCCCAGUCAAGCCUUCAGGUGACAGCUGUCCCCACCAACAUCCUGACUGCAACCUCGUGAGAGAUCCUAAGCCAGAACCCCACAGCUCAGCCAUUCAUUGAUUUCCAACCCUCAGAAAUUGUGUGAGACAAUAAACGUUUAUUGUUGCUUUAAA
Aethalodelphis obliquidens (Pacific white-sided dolphin) is the source of this 405-nucleotide long non-coding RNA. RefSeq lists it as uncharacterized. The record is from RefSeq and is a predicted model, not a curated record. The transcript is spliced from 2 exons. NCBI's taxonomy places the organism in Eukaryota, Metazoa, Chordata, Mammalia, Artiodactyla, Delphinidae.